Molecule: ribosomal RNA, 440 nt
Filed under: uncultured bacterium
Lineage: Bacteria
Description: partial 16S ribosomal RNA
Rfam family: Bacterial small subunit ribosomal RNA
Source: RNAcentral
CCUACGGGAGGCAGCAGUAGGGAAUCUUUCUAAAUGGGGGAAACCCUGAAGCAGCAACGCCGCGUGGAGGAUGAAGGUUUUAGGAUUGUAAACUCCUUUUGUUAGAGAAGAUUAUGACGGUAUCUAACGAAUAAGCACCGGCUAACUCCGUGCCAGCAGCCGCGGUAAUACGGAGGGUGCAAGCGUUACUCGGAAUCACUGGGCGUAAAGAGUGCGUAGGCGGGGUAAUAAGUCAGAUGUGAAAUCCUGUGGCUUAACUACAGAACUGCAUUUGAAACUGUUACUCUGGAGUGUGGGAGAGGUAGGUGGAAUUCUUGGUGUAGGGGUAAAAUCCGUAGAGAUCAAGAGGAAUACUCAUUGCGAAGGCGACCUGCUGGAACAUUACUGACGCUGAUGCACGAAAGCGUGGGGAGCAAACGGGAUUAGAUACCCCGGUAGUC